ACCAAGGCAAUGACGGGUAGGGGACCUGAGAGGGUGGCCCCCCACAAUGGAACUGAAACACGGUCCAUACACCUACGGGUGGCAGCAGUAGGGAAUAUUAGAAAUGGGCGAAAGCCUGAUCUAGCAACACCGCGUGUGCGAUGAAGGCCUUCGGGUUGUAAAGCACUUUUUGGAGGGAAUAGGAAGGGAGGUACCUCCAGAAUAAGUCUCGGCUAACUACGUGCCAGCAGCCGCGGUAACACGUAGGAGGCAAACGUUAUCCGGAUUCACUGGGCGUAAAGCGCGUGUAGGUGGUUCUGUAAGUAGGGCGUGAAAGCUCCCGGCUCAACUGGGAGAGGCCGUACUAAACUGCAGAGCUAGAGGAUGGUAGAGGGAGGUGGAAUUCCAGGUGUAGUGGUGAAAUGCGCAGAUAUCUGGAGGAACACCAGUGGCGAAGGCGGCCUCCUGGACCAUUCCUGACACUCAGACGCGAAAGCUAGGGUAGCAAACGAAAGGAGAGACUCCGGUAGUCCUAGCCCUAAACGACGCCCACAAGGCGUCGGCGGUUUAAUCACCGUCGGUGUCCAAAGCUAACAGCGAUAAGUCUGCCGCCCUAAGGACUACCGGCCCCAAGGCUAAAAAUCAAAGGAAUAGACGGGUCCCCGCACAAGCAGCGGAGCGUGUGGUUUAAUUCGAUGCUCCGCGAAGAACCUUACCUGGGGUUUGACAUAACAGUGGUAGAGAAGUGAAAACGGAUCGACCAAAAAAAGAGCUGUUACAGGUGUUGCAUGCCUGUCGUCAGCUCGUGUCGUGAGAUGUUCGGUUAAGUCCGCUAACGAGCGCAACCCGCGCUGUGUGUUACAAGUGUCACACAGUACCGCCGGUAUUAAGUCGGAGGAAGGUGCGGAUGACGUCAAGUCAGCAUGACCUUUAUAUCCAGGGCUACACACACGCUACAAUGGUCAGAACAAUAGGUUGCCAAGCCGCAAGGCGGAGCCAAUCCUCCAAAUCUGGCCUCAGUUCAGAUUGCAGGCUGCAACUCGCCUGCAUGAAGUCGGAGUUGCUAGUAACCGCAGGUCAGCAUACUGCGGUGAAUACGUUCCCGGGGAUUGCACACACCGCCCGUCAAG
RNAcentral lists this ribosomal RNA (1109 nucleotides) under uncultured bacterium. Its description in RNAcentral is "bacterial SSU rRNA". It matches the Rfam family "Bacterial small subunit ribosomal RNA", at positions 267 to 1401 of the family's 1533-position model. The record is from RNAcentral.